GCGGGUAUGGCGGAAUUGGUAGACGUGCUAGACUUAGGAUCUAGUGCCGUAAGGCGUGGGGGUUCGAGUCCCUUUACCCGCACAA
RNAcentral lists this transfer RNA (85 nucleotides) under Flavobacteriales bacterium. RNAcentral describes it as "tRNA-Leu". It matches the Rfam family "tRNA". From Rfam's summary of the family: Transfer RNA (tRNA) molecules are approximately 80 nucleotides in length. Their secondary structure includes four short double-helical elements and three loops (D, anti-codon, and T loops). Lineage: Bacteria; Pseudomonadati; Bacteroidota; Flavobacteriia; Flavobacteriales. The record is from RNAcentral.